GUGCGGUAGGGGAGAUUGGAAUUCCUGGUGUAGCGGUGGAAUGCGCAGAUAUCAGGAGGAACACCGAUGGCGAAGGCAGAUCUCUGGGCCGUAACUGACGCUGAGGAGCGAAAGGGUGGGGAGCAAACAGGCUUAGAUACCCUGGUAGUCCACCCCCGUAAACGUUGNGAACUAGUUGUGGGGCCAUUCCACGGAUUCCGUGCGCAGCUAACGCAUUAAGUUCCCCGCCUGGGGAGUACGGCCGUAAGGCUAAAACUCAGGGAUUGACGG
This 270-nucleotide ribosomal RNA is filed under the name uncultured bacterium. RNAcentral describes it as "partial 16S ribosomal RNA". It matches the Rfam family "Bacterial small subunit ribosomal RNA", at positions 646 to 916 of the family's 1533-position model. The record is from RNAcentral.